RNAcentral lists this ribosomal RNA (478 nucleotides) under uncultured bacterium. RNAcentral's name for it is "partial 16S ribosomal RNA". It matches the Rfam family "Bacterial small subunit ribosomal RNA", at positions 28 to 523 of the family's 1533-position model. The record is from RNAcentral.
GACGAACGCUGGCGGCGUGCUUAACACAUGCAAGUCGAACGGUAAGGCCCUUCGGGGUACACGAGUGGCGAACGGGUGAGUAACACGUGGGUGAUCUGCCCUGCACUUCGGGAUAAGCCUGGGAAACUGGGUCUAAUACCGGAUAGGACCCUGGGAUGCAUGUCCUGGGGUGGAAAGCUUUUGCGGUGUGGGAUGGGCCCGCGGCCUAUCAGCUUGUUGGUGGGGCGAUGGCCUACCAAGGCGACGACGGGUAGCCGGCCUGAGAGGGUGACCGGCCACACUGGGACUGAGAUACGGCCCAGACUCUUACGGGAGGCAGCAGUGGGGAAUAUUGCACUAUGGGCGCAAGCCUGAUGCAGCGACGCCGCGUGAGGGAUGACGGCCUUCGGGUUGUAAACCUCUUUCAGCACCGACGAAGCGCAAGUGACGGUAGGUGCAGAAGAAGGACCGGCCAACUACGUGCCAGCAGCCGCGGUAA